AGGGGUCUAGCUCGAGCUUGUUGAGCUUCGGUGUGAAAAUCUCAACAAGUUCAAAACGGAGCUUUUUAAUGAGGGUUUUGGAGUGAUUUUUCCAGAGUAACGGUGCAGAAAGUCGAUCUUUUAUGAAGUAUUGCUUUGAUGUGUGCUCUAGGUUUUUAGAAGGAAAAUCUUGUUGUGCAUAUGUCGUUGUUGUUGUUUAUAUUUUUUUUU
This 210-nucleotide long non-coding RNA is filed under the name Lathyrus oleraceus (garden pea). Its description in RNAcentral is "Pisum sativum (pea) long non-coding RNA (PSAT_LNC040440)". Lineage: Eukaryota; Viridiplantae; Streptophyta; Magnoliopsida; Fabales; Fabaceae. The record is from RNAcentral.